This is a long non-coding RNA of Oncorhynchus tshawytscha (Chinook salmon), 822 nucleotides long. NCBI's taxonomy places the organism in Eukaryota, Metazoa, Chordata, Actinopteri, Salmoniformes, Salmonidae. The record is from Ensembl.
UCUGUAGCCUAGGUUCUGUAGCCUAGGUUCUGUAGCCUAGGUUCUGUAGCCUAGGUUCUGUAUCCUAUGGUCUGUAGCCUAGGGUCUGUAUCCUAUGGUCUGUAGCCUAGGGUCUGUAGCCUAGGGUCUGUAGCCUAGGGUCUAUAUCCUAUGGUCUGUAGCCUAGGGUCUGUCUCCUAGGGUCUGUAGCCUAGGGUCUAUAUCCUAGGGUCUGUAGCCUAGGGUCUGUAGCCUAGUGUCUAUAUCCUAGGGUCUAUAUCCUAGGGUCUAUAUCCUAGGGUCUAUAUCCUAGGGUCUAUAUCCUAUGGUCUAUAUCCUAGGGUCUAUAUCCUAGGGUCUGUAGCCUAGGGUCUGUAUCAGAGGUCAAACGAUUAUGAUUUUUCAAUACCGUUACCGAUUAUUGGAGGACCAAAAAAGCCGGUGCCGAUUAAUCAGCUGAUUUUUUAAAUUUUUUUUAAACUUUUUUAAACUUUUUUUUUUUUAACUUUUUUUUUUUUGUAAUAAUGACAAUUACAACAAUACUGAAUUAACACUUAUUUUAACUUGAUAUAUCAAUAAAAUCAAUUUAGCCUCAAAUAAAUAAACAUGUUCAAUUGGGUUUCAAUAAUGCAAUAACAAAGUGUUGGAGAAGAAAGUAAUAUAUGCCAUGUAAAAAAGCUAACGUUUAAGUUCCUUGCUCAGAACAUGAGAACAUAUGAAAGCUGGUGGUUCCUUUUAACAUGAGACUUCAAUAUUCCAAGGUAAGAGGUUUUAGGUUGUAGUUAAUAUAGUAUUUAUAGGACUAUUUCUCUCUAUACCAUUUGUAUUUCAUAUACCUUUGAC